Molecule: ribosomal RNA, 251 nt
Filed under: uncultured bacterium
Lineage: Bacteria
Description: partial 16S ribosomal RNA
Rfam family: Bacterial small subunit ribosomal RNA
Source: RNAcentral
ACGUAGGGAGCGAGCGUUGUCCGGAUUUACUGGGUGUAAAGGGUGCGUAGGCGGAUCUGCAAGUCAGUAGUGAAAUCCCAGGGCUUAACCCUGGAACUGCUAUUGAAACUGUGGGUCUUGAGUGAGGUAGAGGCAGGCGGAAUUCCCGGUGUAGCGGUGAAAUGCGUAGAGAUCGGGAGGAACACCAGUGGCGAAGGCGGCCUGCUGGGCCUUAACUGACGCUGAGGCACGAAAGCAUGGGUAGCAAACAG